Molecule: ribosomal RNA, 460 nt
Filed under: uncultured bacterium
Lineage: Bacteria
Description: partial 16S ribosomal RNA
Rfam family: Bacterial small subunit ribosomal RNA
Source: RNAcentral
CCUACGGGGGGCAGCAGUGAGGAAUAUUGGUCAAUGGGCGUGAGCCUGAACCAGCCAAGUCGCGUGAAGGAUGAAGGCUCUAUGGAUCGUAAACUUCUUUUAUAUGGGAAUAAAAUGUUGGUCGUGUGCUGUUUUGUAUGUACCUUAUGAAUAAGGAUCGGCUAACUCCGUGCCAGCAGCCGCGGUAAUACGGAGGAUCCGAGCGUUAUCCGGAUUUAUUGGGUUUAAAGGGAGCGUAGGUGGCAUGUUAAGUCAGCUGUGAAAGUGUGGGGCUCAACCGUAGAAUUGCAGUUGAAACUGGUAGGCUUGAGUACGGUAGAGGUAGGCGGAAUUCGUGGUGUAGCGGUGAAAUGCAUAGAUAUCACGAAGAACUCCGAUUGCGAAGGCAGCAUACUGGCCUGCAACUGACGCUGAGGCUCGAAAGUGUGGGUAUCAAACAGGAUUAGAUACCCUAGUAGUC